RNAcentral lists this ribosomal RNA (279 nucleotides) under uncultured bacterium. RNAcentral describes it as "partial 16S ribosomal RNA". It matches the Rfam family "Bacterial small subunit ribosomal RNA", at positions 506 to 784 of the family's 1533-position model. The record is from RNAcentral.
UGCCAGCAGCCGCGGUAAUACGUAGGGUGCAAGCGUUAAUCGGAAUUACUGGGCGUAAAGCGUGCGCAGGCGGUCUUAUAAGUCAGAUGUGAAAUCCCCGAGCUCAACUUGGGAACUGCGUUUGAAACUAUAAGACUAGAGUGUAUCAGAGGGGGGUAGAAUUCCACGUGUAGCAGUGAAAUGCGUAGAUAUGUGGAGGAAUACCAAUGGCGAAGGCAGCCUCCUGGGAUAACACUGACGCUCAUGCACGAAAGCGUGGGGAGCAAACAGGAUUAGAUA